AUGCGUGCCGCGCCCGGCGCUGACAGGGUUCUGGAAGCGGAGGAGCUCGCGAGGUGCCUGGAGAUCAUCAUGGGUGACACGGAGGAGGGCGCAGCCAUACGGGCGAGCUCGGCGGCGUGGAAGGCGAAGUUGCAGGAAGCAAUCGCACACGGCGGCUCAUCGGGUCAUAAUCUGGGGACUUUCGUGGACCAAUUUGCGAAUGAUGCUUAG
RNAcentral lists this ribosomal RNA (210 nucleotides) under Triticum aestivum (bread wheat). RNAcentral describes it as "partial small subunit ribosomal RNA". The record is from RNAcentral. Lineage: Eukaryota; Viridiplantae; Streptophyta; Magnoliopsida; Poales; Poaceae.